CCUACGGGCGGCAGCAGUGAGGAAUAUUGGUCAAUGGUCGUAAGCCUGAACCAGCCAAGUAGCGUGCAGGAUGACAGCCCUAUGGGUUUUAAACUGCUUUUAUGCGGGGAUAAAGUGCCCCACGUGUGAGGUUUUGUAUGUACCGUAUGAAUAAGGAUCGGCUAAUUCCGUGCCAGCAGCCGCGGUAAUACGGAAGGUCCGGGCGUUAUCCGGAUUUAUUGGGUUUAAAGGGAGCGUAGGCGGUUCGUUAAGUCUGCGGUAAAAUCGUGGGGCUCAACCUGGCCGUGCCGCGGAAACUGUGGGACUUGAGUAAGCGCAGGGUAAACGGAAUUCGUGGUGUAGCGGUGAAAUGCUUAGAUAUCACGAAGAACUCCGAUUGCGAAGGCAGCGUACGGGAGCAAGACUGACGCUGAGGCUCGAAAGCGCGGGUAUCAAACAGGAUUAGAUACCCGGGUAGUC
Molecule: ribosomal RNA, 459 nt
Filed under: uncultured bacterium
Lineage: Bacteria
Description: partial 16S ribosomal RNA
Rfam family: Bacterial small subunit ribosomal RNA
Source: RNAcentral